Molecule: ribosomal RNA, 253 nt
Filed under: uncultured bacterium
Lineage: Bacteria
Description: partial 16S ribosomal RNA
Rfam family: Bacterial small subunit ribosomal RNA
Source: RNAcentral
UACGUAGGGGGCAAGCGUUGUCCGGAUUUAUUGGGCGUAAAGCGCGUGUAGGCGGCUUAGCAAGUCGGGCGUGAAAGCCCUCGGCUCAACCGAGGAAGUGCACCCGAAACUGCUGAGCUUGAGUGCCGGAGAGGAUGGCGGAAUUCCCCAAGUAGAGGUGAAAUUCGUAGAUAUGGGGAGGAACACCGGUGGCGAAGGCGGCCAUCUGGACGGUAACUGACGCUGAGACGCGAAAGCGUGGGGAGCAAACAGG